AUACGGAAGGUCCGGGCGUUAUCCGGAUUUAUUGGGUUUAAAGGGAGCGCAGGCGGAGAUGCAAGCGUGACGUCAAAUUUCGGGGCUCAACCCCGUCUCGCGUCGCGAACUGCGUCCCUUGGUUGCGGGAAGGGGAGGCGGAACUCGUGGUGUAGCGGUGAAAUGCAUAGAUAUCACGAAGAACUCCGAUCGCGAAGGCAGCCUUCCGGCCCGUCAACGACGCUCAUGCUCGAAGGUGCGGGUAUCAAACAGGAUUGGAUACCCUGGUAGUCCGCACAGUAAACGAUGGACACCCGCGGUUUGGCCUGUAUGGCUGAGCCGCCAAGCGAAAGCGUUAAGUGUCCCACCUGGGGAGUACGCCGGCAACGGUGAAACUCAAAUGAAUUGACGGGG
This 393-nucleotide ribosomal RNA is filed under the name uncultured bacterium. RNAcentral describes it as "partial 16S ribosomal RNA". It matches the Rfam family "Bacterial small subunit ribosomal RNA", at positions 523 to 918 of the family's 1533-position model. The record is from RNAcentral.